This 497-nucleotide ribosomal RNA is filed under the name uncultured bacterium. Its description in RNAcentral is "partial 16S ribosomal RNA". It matches the Rfam family "Bacterial small subunit ribosomal RNA", at positions 28 to 507 of the family's 1533-position model. The record is from RNAcentral.
GAUGAACGCUGGCGGCGUGCCUAAUACAUGCAAGUCGAGCGAACAGACGAGGAGCUUGCUCCUCUGACGUUAGCGGCGGACGGGUGAGUAACACGUGGAUAACCUACCUAUAAGACUGGGAUAACUUCGGGAAACCGGAGCUAAUACCGGAUAAUAUAUUGAACCGCAUGGUUCAAUAGUGAAAGACGGUUUUGCUGUCACUUUUAGAUGGAUCCGCGCCGCAUUAGCUAGUUGGUAAGGUAACGGCUUACCAAGGCAACGAUGCGUAGCCGACCUGAGAGGGGGAUCCGUCACACUGGAACUGAGACACGGUCCAGACUCCUACGGGAGGCAGCAGUAGGGAAUCUUCCGCAAUGGGCGAAAGCUUGACGGAGCAACGCCGCGUGAGUGAUGAAGGUCUUCGGAUCGUAAAACUCUGUUAUUAGGGAAGAACAAAUGUGUAAGUAACUAUGCACGUCUUGACGGUACCUAAUCAGAAAGCCACGGCUAACUACGUG